UACAGAGGUCUCAAGCGUUGUUCGGAUUUACUGGGCGUAAAGGGCGCGUAGGCGGCCACCGCAAGUCGACUGUGAAAUCUCCGGGCUUAACCCGGAAAGGUCAGCCGAUACUGCGGGGCUAGAGUGCAGAAGGGGCAACUGGAAUUCUCGGUGUAGCGGUGAAAUGCGUAGAUAUCGAGAGGAACACCUGCGGCGAAGGCGGGUUGCUGGGCCGACACUGACGCUGAUGCGCGAAAGCCAGGGGAGCGAACGGG
This 254-nucleotide ribosomal RNA is filed under the name uncultured bacterium. RNAcentral describes it as "partial 16S ribosomal RNA". It matches the Rfam family "Bacterial small subunit ribosomal RNA", at positions 524 to 776 of the family's 1533-position model. The record is from RNAcentral.